GCACGUGUGGUGUAGUGGUCUUGCAUUUCCGGUUCCCAACCGGACGGUCCCGGGUUCGAACCCCGGCACGUGCA
Aphelenchus avenae is the source of this 74-nucleotide non-coding RNA. The record is from the annotation of a GenBank genome assembly. Lineage: Eukaryota; Metazoa; Nematoda; Chromadorea; Rhabditida; Aphelenchidae.